AUGAAAGCUGAUGUUGAGCUGACACAUGGGAGCUACCAUCUGAAGGAAAGUGUUUAUGGAUUGUCAGGGUCUAACGUGAGCUGGGCCACAUCUUGCACUGGAGAAGCCAACAAGGUUCCUGUGCUGCAUACCACAAGAACUGAAGUUGAUCCAAACCCAGAGGCAACCACAUAUCAAGAACAAAGUGAAAACCAGCAAAGGUUCUAAGAACUAAGCAAAGAACCAAACCAGUAGCUACCUUCUGAUGACAGAAUUUUAAUGGUGGAUUUUUACUGCAUGGCUAAGCCCUAAAUUCAUCUACAUAGUGAGAAUACAGCUAUAACCUGUAGAGACUAAAUACUCAGGAGUUAAGCUUCAUUACCUGAACAUAAUCUGGAAUAAAAAGUUAGCAAUACUAACUGGUACCA
This 407-nucleotide long non-coding RNA is filed under the name Cyanistes caeruleus (blue tit). RNAcentral's name for it is "lncRNA (ENSCCEG00000011286.1)". Lineage: Eukaryota; Metazoa; Chordata; Aves; Passeriformes; Paridae. The record is from RNAcentral.